Molecule: unclassified non-coding RNA, 122 nt
Filed under: Pseudodesulfovibrio profundus
Lineage: Bacteria; Pseudomonadati; Thermodesulfobacteriota; Desulfovibrionia; Desulfovibrionales; Desulfovibrionaceae
Description: HgcC
Source: RNAcentral
GGGGGGCACUCGGUUCCUGCGCGUGGAGGCUUUGGCAUCAGCCAGCCGAUGAAGUGCGAACCCCUGAUUCAAUCAGGAAUCCUCGGCCUUUAGGCCGGGGAGGAUGUCAAUUUUGGGUUCUC